Plectropomus leopardus (leopard coralgrouper) is the source of this 252-nucleotide non-coding RNA. The record is from RefSeq and is a predicted model, not a curated record. NCBI's taxonomy places the organism in Eukaryota, Metazoa, Chordata, Actinopteri, Perciformes, Serranidae.
CAUGGCUGCGCCCUGCUCGGAUCAACAGGUCUGAAGGUGUCCAUGAUGUCCUCUCAGCAGGUGAGUAUCAGUGAGCUCCUGCUCUCAUUGGACAGUUCAGAGCUGCAGGAGGCGGAGUCAGUCAGAGCGGCCGUCAACCAGCAGCUGAGUACAGACAGAGGAGGUGCUGUCCUGUCCUCCCUGGUAGAGUAUUAUCUGGACUCGUCCUCGUCUCAGGUUGUCCUCCUCCUGUCCUCCAUCAGAGAGCCUCAU